GACGAACGCUGGCGGCGUGCUUAACACAUGCAAGUCGAACGGUGAAGCGCCUUCCUUUUUGGUGGGUGUGGAUGAGUGGCGAACGGGUGAGUAACACGUGAGUAACCUGCCCCCUUCUUCUGGAUAACCGCAUGAAAGUGUGGCUAAUACGGGAUAUUCUGGGUCUGUCGCAUGAUGGGUCUGGGAAAGAUAUUGUUUCGGUGGGGGAUGGGCUCGCGGCCUAUCAGCUUGUUGGUGGGGUGAUGGCCUACCAAGGCGGUGACGGGUAGCCGGCCUGAGAGGGUGGACGGUCACACUGGGACUGAGACACGGCCCAGACUCCUACGGGAGGCAGCAGUGGGGAAUAUUGCUCAAUGGGCGCAAGCCUGAUGCAGCGACGCCGCGUGAGGGAUGGAGGCCUUCGGGUUGUGAACCUCUUUCGCCAGUGAAGCAGGCCUGCCUCGUUUGUGGGUGGGUUGACGGUAGCUGGAUAAGAAGCGCCGGCUAACUACGUG
RNAcentral lists this ribosomal RNA (494 nucleotides) under uncultured bacterium. RNAcentral describes it as "partial 16S ribosomal RNA". It matches the Rfam family "Bacterial small subunit ribosomal RNA", at positions 28 to 507 of the family's 1533-position model. The record is from RNAcentral.